RNAcentral lists this ribosomal RNA (484 nucleotides) under uncultured bacterium. RNAcentral's name for it is "partial 16S ribosomal RNA". It matches the Rfam family "Bacterial small subunit ribosomal RNA", at positions 29 to 507 of the family's 1533-position model. The record is from RNAcentral.
AUUGAACGCUGGCGGCAUGCUUUACACAUGCAAGUCGAACGGCAGCGCGGGCUUCGGCCUGGCGGCGAGUGGCGAACGGGUGAGUAAUACAUCGGAACGUGCCCAGUCGUGGGGGAUAGCUCGGCGAAAGCCGGAUUAAUACCGCAUACGACCUGAGGGUGAAAGCGGGGGAUCUUCGGACCUCGCGCUUUUGGAGCGGCCGAGGGCAGAUUAGCUAGUUGGUGGGGUAAAGGCCUACCAAGGCGACGAUCUGUAGCUGGUCUGAGAGGACGACCAGCCACACUGGGACUGAGACACGGCCCAGACUCCUACGGGAGGCAGCAGUGGGGAAUUUUGGACAAUGGGCGAAAGCCUGAUCCAGCAAUGCCGCGUGUGUGAUGAAGGCCUUCGGGUUGUAAAGCACUUUUGGCGGGAACGAAAAGGACUGUGCCAAUACCACGGUUCGAUGACGGUACCCGCAGAAUAAGCACCGGCUAACUACGUG